Labrus mixtus (cuckoo wrasse) is the source of this 1461-nucleotide long non-coding RNA. RefSeq lists it as uncharacterized. The record is from RefSeq and is a predicted model, not a curated record. The transcript has 3 exons. NCBI's taxonomy places the organism in Eukaryota, Metazoa, Chordata, Actinopteri, Labriformes, Labridae.
AAAAUUAUAACUUUAUUUUUACAGAAUACAAACUGCGUUUGGCCUCCAGCAUCUCAACAAUAAAACACAUUUACAAUUCACACUGUGGUUAUCACCAUCUUCAUCUUCAUCAUCUUCAUCAUCAUCUUCACCUGCACAGGUAUUUACAGGCACAUUUACACGCUGUUAUCAAACUGUACAGCUUCAGUCUGAUCCUGGAUCAGUUUUUUUUACAAACAUUUUAAAGUUUCUAUUCCCUUGUAGAAAAAAACGUUUUCAGUAACAAACAGAGCUCGACCAAUCAGAGCGGAGGAUCUGAUCCAUCAGGUUAGAAAACUGUACAGAGAUCAGGAGGUCAAAGGUCAAACUGUGACCUCCAUUUACACAAUUCAUCAGUGGUGUGCAGAGUUUAAGCUCCGCCUUCUCUCUUUAUUGGGAAAAAAAAAAGUAUCCUGAAGAAGCACCAUAAAUCUUCAUCUUCAUCGUCACACGCAUGCAGAAGUCUAAUCUGAUCAAAGAACUACAACUACGGGUCAAACACAGGCUCAAUAAACACGCAGGCAGAAACACUGACGACGGUCAAACAGCAAAAGUUCUCAGAAAGAAGAAGAAAAAUACAGACGCUGCAUCUGACAGCGGGAAGAUCAUUUUACAAAAGAUUCAUCCAAUAUGUGUUUCCUGUUUCAGAAUAACGGUCAGAGUGUCUCUUUUAUUGCGUGAACAGUUCCGUUCGAGUCCUUUUAUUCUGAAAAAACAAACAGCAAGACAACAGGAAGUAUCCUGUCAGAGUUUUGCGUUAAAACUUAAAACUUAAAUCAAACUGUGACAGAUUGAGCUCUCCACUGGCAGCUGAUGUGUCAGGCUGUUGCCAUGGAGACACAGCUGAUCGUGUCCCACCUGGGGCAUUGCAGACUGAGUCCUCAUGGUUCUCAUCACAUUAAUCUGGUUGUGUUGACCCUGUAAACUGACUGUCAGCGUAGUCCGUCUAAUAACACGGUUACGUCCUGUUUGGCAUUUCCGGUCUUCAUUAUUGCUUUAAAACAUCAGAACACCUAGAGUCUGUGUGUUCAGGUGAGUCUGUGUGUUCAGGUGAGUCUGUGUGUUCAGGUGAGUGUGUGUUCAGGUGAGUCUGUGUGUUCAGGUGAGUCUGUGUGUCCAGGUGAGUCUGUGUGUUCAGGUAAGUCUGUGUUCAGUCUGUGUGUUCAGGUGAGUCUGUGUGUCCAGGUGAGUCUGUGUGUUCAGUCUGUGUGUUCAGGUGAGUCUGUGUGUUCAGGUGAGUCUGUGUGUCCAGGUGAGUCUGUGUGUUCAGGUGAGUGUGUGUUCAGGUGAGUCUGUGUGUCCAGGUGAGUCUGUUUCUGUACCUUUUGAUAACACGGGGUAUCAAAGACUUUCAGAAAUGAUCACAACCUUUAGUUCAGAUAUUUGGACUCCUGACGACCGAACAGCUGAUUGAAUCCGUGUUUGUUCACUCACAUCAAACCG